Molecule: ribosomal RNA, 1284 nt
Filed under: Escherichia coli
Lineage: Bacteria; Pseudomonadati; Pseudomonadota; Gammaproteobacteria; Enterobacterales; Enterobacteriaceae
Description: partial 23S ribosomal RNA
Rfam family: Bacterial large subunit ribosomal RNA
Source: RNAcentral
CGUAGUCGAUGGGAAACAGGUUAAUAUUCCUGUACUUGGUGUUACUGCGAAGGGGGGACGGAGAAGGCUAUGUUGGCCGGGCGACGGUUGUCCCGGUUUAAGCGUGUAGGCUGGUUUUCCAGGCAAAUCCGGAAAACCAAGGCUGAGGCGUGAUGACGAGGCACUACGGUGCUGAAGCGACAAAUGCCCUGCUUCCAGGAAAAGCCUCUAAGCAUCAGGUAACAUCAAAUCGUACCCCAAACCGACACAGGUGGUCAGGUAGAGAAUACCAAGGCGCUUGAGAGAACUCGGGUGAAGGAACUAGGCAAAAUGGUGCCGUAACUUCGGGAGAAGGCACGCUGAUAUGUAGGUGAAGCGACUUGCUCGUGGAGCUGAAAUCAGUCGAAGAUACCAGCUGGCUGCAACUGUUUAUUAAAAACACAGCACUGUGCAAACACGAAAGUGGACGUAUACGGUGUGACGCCUGCCCGGUGCCGGAAGGUUAAUUGAUGGGGUUAGCGGCAACGCGAAGCUCUUGAUCGAAGCCCCGGUAAACGGCGGCCGUAACUAUAACGGUCCUAAGGUAGCGAAAUUCCUUGUCGGGUAAGUUCCGACCUGCACGAAUGGCGUAAUGAUGGCCAGGCUGUCUCCACCCGAGACUCAGUGAAAUUGAACUCGCUGUGAAGAUGCAGUGUACCCGCGGCAAGACGGAAAGACCCCGUGAACCUUUACUAUAGCUUGACACUGAACAUUGAGCCUUGAUGUGUAGGAUAGGUGGGAGGCUUUGAAGUGUGGACGCCAGUCUGCAUGGAGCCGACCUUGAAAUACCACCCUUUAAUGUUUGAUGUUCUAACGUUGGCCCCUAAUCGGGGUUGCGGACAGUGUCUGGUGGGUAGUUUGACUGGGGCGGUCUCCUCCUAAAGAGUAACGGAGGAGCACGAAGGUUGGCUAAUCCUGGUCGGACAUCAGGAGGUUAGUGCAAUGGCAUAAGCCAGCUUGACUGCGAGCGUGACGGCGCGAGCAGGUGCGAAAGCAGGUCAUAGUGAUCCGGUGGUUCUGAAUGGAAGGGCCAUCGCUCAACGGAUAAAAGGUACUCCGGGGAUAACAGGCUGAUACCGCCCAAGAGUUCAUAUCGACGGCGGUGUUUGGCACCUCGAUGUCGGCUCAUCACAUCCUGGGGCUGAAGUAGGUCCCAAGGGUAUGGCUGUUCGCCAUUUAAAGUGGUACGCGAGCUGGGUUUAGAACGUCGUGAGACAGUUCGGUCCCUAUCUGCCGUGGGCGCUGGAGAACUGAGGGGGGCUGCUC